CUGGUGUAGUCCACUACGGUUCCUGGUCCGUCGGACGCUAGGACCCUACGGACCCUCUUGGCUUUGCUUCCCUUUAUACAGCUGCUCUGAUUGGCUGCCUCUGUUCCUCCGGCCACGCUCACAACCCCAGCGGUCCUCCUCCCUUCUUCUCUGUUGGUCUUGAUCUUCCUCUGAGUUUCUCCUCCUUUCAUCCCACUCUCCAUCAGAGGCCUUACGGAAGCUCUCUCGUCCUCUCUUUCCGUCUCCUUCUCUACGUCACGUUUGAGGUUGCAGGUUUUUACGGUGUCGGUGAGCUCCACACUGGGAGAUUUGAUUUGGGGCACGUCCAUCUCUUUAUCAGACAUACUCCUCUCUUCCUUUCUUGUUUUCCUCUCUUUCCCCUCUUCCUCCUCCUCCUCCUCCUUCCUCCUCCUCUUCUCAGAUUUGGUGUCUGGAGCUUUGCCAGAGGCUCUCUCCUGCUCUCUACCCAGCCUGUUGUCAGCCUCUCUCCUGGGCUUGGCCUCUCUCCCUGAGCCCCUGUCCUGCCGAACCCCUGUAUCUCUCUUCCCUCUCUGCUCCUCCUUGGCUGGUCUGGAAUGGUCCAGGUCUGUUCUGACAGGUUUAAACUGGUUUGGGUCGGUUCUAACUGGUUUAAACUGGUCUGGGUCGGUUCUAACUGUGUUGAACUGGUUUAGGUCGGUUCUGAACGGUUUAAACUGGUCUGGGUCGGUUCUAACUGGUUUAAACUGGUUUAGGUCAGUUCUAACUGUGUUGAACUGGUCUGGGUCGGUUCUGACAGGUUUAAACUGGUUUGGGUCAGUUCUAACCGGUUUGAAUGAGUCUGGGUGGGGUUUAGGAGGAGGUCGUUUGGGAGCUGAUGCUAAAGGUGCAGGGGAUAUGAGUUCUACCUCUCUUUGGGGGGAAGUGGAAGUGUCUGGU
This 918-nucleotide long non-coding RNA is filed under the name Salmo salar (Atlantic salmon). Its description in RNAcentral is "lncRNA (ENSSSAG00000112877.1)". Lineage: Eukaryota; Metazoa; Chordata; Actinopteri; Salmoniformes; Salmonidae. The record is from RNAcentral.